CAGAGGGUGCAAACGUUGCUCGGAAUUAUUGGGCGUAAAGCGCGUGUAGGCGGCUUGUUAAGUUGGUUGUGAAAACCCAUGGCUCAACCAUGGAAGGGCGUCCAAAACUGGCAAGCUAGAGUCCUGACGAGGAUGGCGGAAUUCCCAGUGUAGAGGUGAAAUUCGUAGAUAUUGGGAGGAACACCGGUGGCGAAGGCGGCCAUCUGGGAAGGCACUGACGCUGAGACGCGAAAGCGUGGGGAGCAAACAGGAUUAGAUACCCUGGUAGUCCACGCUGUAAACGAUGAGCACUAGAUGUUGCGGGUAUUGACCCCUGCAGUGUCGACGCUAACGCAUUAAGUGCUCCGCCUGGGGAGUACGGCCGCAAGGCUA
RNAcentral lists this ribosomal RNA (372 nucleotides) under uncultured organism. RNAcentral's name for it is "bacterial SSU rRNA". It matches the Rfam family "Bacterial small subunit ribosomal RNA", at positions 526 to 896 of the family's 1533-position model. The record is from RNAcentral.